UUUCAAGCUGGGGGGUGUUUUUG
RNAcentral lists this microRNA (23 nucleotides) under Oryctolagus cuniculus (rabbit). Its description in RNAcentral is "ocu-miR-498". Its record names the gene ocu-miR-498. Lineage: Eukaryota; Metazoa; Chordata; Mammalia; Lagomorpha; Leporidae. The record is from miRBase by way of RNAcentral.